Molecule: long non-coding RNA, 528 nt
Organism: Mytilus californianus (California mussel)
Lineage: Eukaryota; Metazoa; Mollusca; Bivalvia; Mytilida; Mytilidae
Exons: 2
Source: RefSeq, a predicted model, not a curated record
AAUGUAUAGAUAAUGAUGUAUCUCUAAGUAUUUAUUUGUUAAGAAGACUUUGUAUUUUGCUAUUACGAAAUAUAUACAAUGGUUAAUUAUUUGUCGGAAAUUAGAAUGGGAGUCUUUCUUAUUUCAUUUUUGUUCGUUCUUUUCAAUAGUUCUGGAUUUGUUACAAGUUACGGUAUACGGUUACAAGAACAGCCAUUUGUGACAGGAACAACAGGAGCCCCAGGUGGAUUUGGAGGAUGUGCUGCCUGUAGAGCUGUUUGCGAUUGCGCAUGUGUCAGACGAACCUGCACUGAUACAUCCUGUUGUGGACAAGAAGGAUUUAGAUCUGACACUACAUUACCAUCUUCACGUUACAGACAGGAUAUCUUUGAGGAUCCCAGGUUCAGAUUUAUGUUAUCUUUACCGCAAAAAUGGCGUUAUCUUGUAAAACGUCCACAGUGGAUCUUAUUUUGAAAAAUUGAACUUACUCGCAUUUUAAACUAUAUUUAAACUGUGUUUAUGUUGCAAUUAAAGGAAGUAAUAAGAUAA